Girardinichthys multiradiatus is the source of this 3924-nucleotide long non-coding RNA. RefSeq lists it as uncharacterized. Lineage: Eukaryota; Metazoa; Chordata; Actinopteri; Cyprinodontiformes; Goodeidae. The transcript is spliced from 3 exons. The record is from RefSeq and is a predicted model, not a curated record.
UGAGGCUGUGGAGAUCCGCCGAGGCACAGCAGGCGGACAGGGUGCGUCCUCGCAUCCCUCAGGAACAGGAAGUGGAAACGGGUCCUCCACAAACUCCUCCGGAACGGGAACCAGGGAUAGAGGCAGUUCGUCCUCGGAGCCCUUCAGGACAGGACCGGGAACAGGAGCAGGGAGGCAGUCCAUCCACGAGCCCCUCAUGGACAGGAUCAAAGUGUAAGGGCGGCUCGGCUUGGAAUUGGACCAGAAACAGGAUUAGGAGUCUGAAACAGCGGCGUUGGCUGAUCAGGAGUUUGGUUUUUUGAUGGACCAAUAUGCGAGGAAGAACUCCUGAAGCUCGAGGUUUAAAGGAAAAAAAUUAAAUUACCUUUGGCACAUGAAGACUUCACUCAAAUCCUAGAUGCAACACAAGCACUCCAAUUUGAGGAAGGGUGCGCCAGAGCUCAGGGUCUAAGCUGGUGCCUAUCUCGAGAAGUCAUCAGGCAAGAGGCUGGGUACACCGAGGACUGGUCGCCAAUCCAUCAGAGGGCAACACAGAGACACACAGGACAAACGACCGUACAUGCACACACUCAUACCUUAGGGCGAUUUACAGAGGCCAACCUUGGCUAACAGUUUUUGGAGUUUUGGGGGAAGCUGGAGUACCUGAGGAGAAUCCAUACAUGCACAGAGAGAACCAAAGACCCCAGUUAUGGGAUUCAACCUCAGGACCUUCAGAAACAGUGCUACCAACAGUGCCACAGUGCAGGUCCCCACUAUUGUAAGAUACAAGCCUGAACACAGGUGAAAAAGAAAUGUUUUUAAAUAGAUGGUGUAUGCCCCUUAAAAGAUAACUAAUCAUAACAAAUUUCGGCGCAUUUUGUCUGGGGUACCUCAAACUUAAAGUGUAGUUUUCACAAUUAUAUAUUACUGAAAAGUCUCACAGCAAUAUAAAAAUGAAAUAUUUGUCUAUGAGCAUUGGUUCAGAUUAGCUCUCCUUUUGACAGAGCAGUAACUGUAAAGUAACUGCCAGCAAGAGGCUAUCUGAUGAAGUUUCCUUCCUGUCUCAGAAGGAGAAACAGAUGAGGAGAAAGUGUUUGUAUUUUACAAUGCAGGCAUCUCCCAGUUGAAUAAGUUCAUGCAGUAACUCUUGUGGGGUUGGGUGGCCUAUUUUUUAACAAGUAGCACUCAUCCUCCUCCCAUCAGAAACAUGUGAUAGGAUCAUAUAGCCCCAAGCAUGUUUUAAUGAGUUGCUGAACAAAAAUAACUCCUCUUCAUGGUGUGUACAGGUUUAUUAAGUGAAAAAUAAAGUGUCUUCAAUUGUUUUAACAUACUAUAACACAAACAUCUUUGUUUGAGGAAUCUCAAAGCCAGGUCCUAUACCAACAUGACUUUAUAUACCAGAAUAUGGAUCUUUGAAACCCAGGGGUAAACCAGAAGCAAAUCAGGUUGUAAGCUAUUCAGCCUGCAGCAAUCCCAAUGAGUAGUGCUUCCACUCCACAUUGGAGAUCUGUCACUUUUGAUCAGGUUCCCGAUCACAUCUACGUCCGAACUGCUCAGACUCCAGGCCUCUGUCGACAUGCUGCUUCUGCUGGCACAUUUUAGCCUUCUGACAGGUUGGUGGAUUGAGUCUGCAAGAUGGUGUCCAACUGAGCACUGCCAGAAAGCACCAGCUCCAUCUAUAUCCCAGCUUUUGUUCCAAGCUUUUAGGUAGCAAAUUGUCACAUACAUUCAGCAGCACAUUGCAGUUUUACUGCCACAGCAGCAAUAUCCCUCAUUGUCUAAAUGAGGAAUCACCAAAUGUUUUCACAUCAAGAAAACCCAUUUGGAUGCACAUUAAACCAAAGCCUCCCAUUUCAUCAGCACUUGUUCCAAAGCACCCCAUCUAAUCUUUGUUGGAGUUUUGGAAGAAAAUCAUUUAACCACGACGUGUACAGAAUUAUUUAAAAGCGUGAACUGUGCAAGCUAUAAAAUGGGCACUCAUAAUUAUCAUUUCCAGGAGUUGAGGAGCACUAAAUUGUUCCUCGUCUACGUAUCUUCUGGAACACUGUUAAUGUGUCCAUAGGGACUCACAGGCCGCUGAAGCACAGAUAUUAAACUGCUUUGAUUUCUCUUUUUUGCUCUUUGCAGUGGUUCUUCUACAAAACAUUACAGAGAUUUAAGAUUGUAACAAUAAAAGGAACAAUGAAAACCAGGGAGCUUAUAAAGAGGAGAUGUGAUCAAUGACACAGGAACCAAGUGAGUCUAAUCAGGGGAAUGUGGAACAGCUGUGGAGAAGUGCUAGCUGGGAGACCGAGGAAAGGAGACUAAUUACACUGAACACCAUGGGAGCUAAUCCAAAACACAGAGGAACUAACACUAACAUGAGAGAACAACAUCACAGAAUACCAGAACAUCAGAAAUAACAAAAAACUCAAUGCAGGGAUUCAACUAAUAUGGAAAGACACUAAAGACUAAGACAGCCAGAAUGAGAGGGAGAUCCAACGAUGGAAAUGUGCAUCACUAUAAAUUUGUUUGCAUGUUUGUUUUAUUUUAUCUUUUUAACAACUGCUUCUACUUUUCUAUUUUACAUAAAUAAUUUUUUGCUCAUGUACUAAGCAGAUAGGUUUUUUCUCAAUUUGUGACAAAAAAAAAAGCACAUUCUGAUUCUGAUAAUAUUGUUAGUUGGAUAGAACAAAUAUUUUUCAAAGUUAAGAUUGAAAUACUGGUUUGAGAAAAAAUUGAUUUAAUUAAUCUGAUGAAGUCUCCUGCUGCUCCUUAAGCUGUCCUAUUUUCAAACUUUUUAACAACCUUCACAAAUCUUUCCACCAAGUCUUGAGUCAUUAAAGGCAUGAAUGUUCCAAUUUGAGGCCCAAGCCAAGGCAUGCAAGUGUCGCAUUGAGUCAAAGUCCUAAACUUUUAUCAUUGAGUCUUAAAGAAGUUGUGUUCCUACCUUGGAUAAUGCCGUGCACAGACGUUUUUGCCAUUGAAUUUCUCCAAUUUUGCACACACCGCUGUAAUUGUGCUGGAUGACAGGACCUAAACUUUGCCCGAGUCUUUGCUGUAAUUGUAAGGUGCAAUGAAGAAGCAAGUAAACAGCGCAGUAUAUCCACCGUGCAGGAGGAGGAGAUAUGACAAGUUCCCAUUGUAACACAAUUUAUUUGCUGUAAGAUACCCAGUCUCUUCAAGUCAAAGUGUUCAACUCAAUAUGAAGUCACGAGUCAUUGGUGUGAAAGUCCAAGUGAAGUCCUAAGUCUUUAUUUUGUUUUGGAUUAAGUCGAGUCGAAACUAAUUAAAUUUCUGACUGGAGUCUGACUCUACUCUAAGUCUCAUGACAUGAGUCCACACCUCUGCCGAUUGGUGAAAGGUUGUCUGUCUAAUGAAGCCCAGCUGAUUGCAUCGAGUUAUUGGCUUUGCAGCAAUCCCUCAUCAUGAGCGAGCAAGUGUUGACACUGGAAAUGAAUGACUCUGUUUAAACAGGAAGGAACCUCCAGAACAAACUGUCUCACCAUGAGCAACCAAUCUGGUUCUGAGAGGACAGAUGUCACAAUAAUCUCUUCCGUUUCUUGCUGAAAUCUAAGUUGUUAAACUAGUAUAUUCUAAAUAAGCCAGGUGUAAUUUAAAAAAUGUAAUUAAUGUGUUGCUACCAGUAUAUUAGCAAAGGUUUUACUGGACACAACUCCACAUUGGAAUGACAUCAGUGAAUAGACACAAUGUUGGGUUAACAAUGACAAAAACGAUCAGUAAGGAAUUUUACAGAUGAUUAAUGUUUCGUGGAACAUAUAUGUGUGCCAGUGACAGAUAUGAUUACAACCUUUAGUGAUGUAUUUAGCAUAGUGGAGUUCUAAUACGUUUUCAGAAGCAGUAUUUAUGAUAUAUUUCCCUUAAAAUGUUAAAAAUGAUAAAUCUGUUGACAAGUGAAGAGACUUGCUGGUUUUGUUGAUUAAAAUGAUUGUUUCCUAGUAUGAA